AGGAUAUCUCGGCUCUCGCAUCGAUGAAGAACGUAGCGAAAUACGAUACGUGGUGUGAAUUGCAGAAUCCCGCGAACCAUCGAGUUUUUGAACGCAAGUUGCGCCCGAGGGUCCUGCCCGAGGGCACGCCUGCCUCAUGGGCGUAAUAAGCCCAUCAACGCUCGAGUGCCUCGGCCACGUCACGUGUGACGGGCGCGCGGCCGGAUGCGGACGAUGGCCCUCCGAGCGAGAGCGCGCGGCGGGCCGAAGCGUGCGUUCGUCGGAUGCGGUCGGAGCGGCGAGUGGUGGGAUCCUGCGCAUGCCGCCUCGUGCCCUUUUCCGGCGUCGGGCGCGUAGCUUCGACCCCGUACGAGGAGCUCGUCGUCGGUGCGUCCGACUCCGAGGAACCCUUGGACCAAUACCCCAGGUCAGGCGGGGCUACCCGCCGAGUUUAAGCAUA
Molecule: unclassified non-coding RNA, 439 nt
Filed under: Scleria biflora
Lineage: Eukaryota; Viridiplantae; Streptophyta; Magnoliopsida; Poales; Cyperaceae
Description: sequence contains ITS1, 5.8S rRNA gene, ITS2
Rfam family: 5.8S ribosomal RNA (bases 2-143)
Source: RNAcentral